Molecule: long non-coding RNA, 6531 nt
Filed under: Sus scrofa (pig)
Lineage: Eukaryota; Metazoa; Chordata; Mammalia; Artiodactyla; Suidae
Description: lncRNA (ENSSSCG00055006071.1)
Source: RNAcentral
AAAAGAAAAAGAAAAACAAAACAAAACAAAAAUAAAUAAAUAUCGCAUACUCUUCAUUCAUAUUCACCCAUUGAUGGAGACUUAAGUUGCUUCCAUAUCUUGGCUAUUUUUAGUAAUUUUGCAAUAAAAAUUGGGGUGCAUAUAUCUUUUCGAGUUAGUGUUUUUAUUUUCUUCAGAUAAAUGCCCAGAAGUGGAAUUGCUGAAUCAUAUGUUCUUUCUGUUUUUAAUUUUUUUUGAGGAACUUCUGUGCUGCUUUCCAUAGUGGCUGCACCAAUUUACAUUCCAGCCAACGGUGCACAGGUGUUCCUUUUUCUUCAUGUCCUCGCCAACAUUUCUUACUUUUUGUCUUUUUGAUAAUAACCAUUCUGACAGGUAUGAGGUGAUAUCUGACCGUGGUUUUGAUUUUCAUUUCUCUGAUGGUAACUGAUGCAUCCUUUCAUGUACCCGUUGGCCAUCUGUGUGUCGUCUUUGGGAAAAGAUGUCUAUUCAGAACUUUUGAAAUGCCUGUUCAGAUUUUGCUUUUCAAUUCUUCAGUGCUUACUGUAAAGAAAUAUGAUUUAUUUUAAUGUAUUGACUUUGAGUCCUACAACCAUGUUGAACUCUACUUAUUAAACCUAGGAGCUUUUAGAUGACGCCUUGAAAUUUUCAACACAGGCAGUGAUGUAGCCUGUAAGUAGAGACAACUUUCCUUCUUUCAAUCUGUAUGUAUUUUAUUUCUUUUAUUGUACCUUAUUUCAGUGCCCAGGGCUUUUAUACAAUAUUGGAUAGGAAUGGUGAAAGUGGAUAUCCUCCGUCUCCAUUUUAAGGGGAAAGCAUUAAUCUUUGAUCCUUAAUUAUGAGGUGAGCUGCACGUUUUUAAUAGAGCUUCUUAACAGGUUUAUUUCUAGUAUGCUAAGAGUUUUACUGUGAAUUAAUAUUGAAUUUCAUCAAACAGUUUUCUGUCUCCAUUGGCAUGAUUAAUGUCAUUUUCUUCUUUAGUCUGUUGAUAUGAUGGAUUACACUGAUGUAUUUUCUCACGAUGAACCAGCUUUGCAAUUCUGAGAUAAAACCUGCUUUGUCUUAGUCUAUGUUUCGUUUCGUUUCUUUUCUCCUUCCUUCCUUCCUUCCUUCCUCCCUUUCUUUCUUUCUUUCUUUCUUUCUUUCUUUCUUUCUUUCUUUCUUUCUUUUUUCUCUCUUUCUCUCUUUCUCUCUUUCUUUCUUUUUUCCCCUGCAGCAUAUGGAAGUUCCCAGGCUAGGAGUUCAAUCAGAGAUGCAACUGCUUGCCUACAGCACAGACACAGCAAUGCAGGAUUCAAGUCUCAUCUGCGACCUACCUCCACCACAGCUCAUGGCAACGCCAGAUCCUUAAUCCACUGAGUGAGGCCAGGGACCGAACCUGCACCUUCCUGGAUACUGGUCUGAUUUGUUUCCACUGAGCUGCAACGGGAACUCCCUAUGUUUCUUCUUAUAUAUUGUUGGAUGUGACUUCUAAUAUUUCAUUGAGGACUUUUGUAUCUAUGUUUAUGAAGGAUAUUGGUCUGUAGUUUUUGUUUCUUAUAUUGUCCUGUCUGGUUUUGUUAUCAGAGCACUGUGGGCUUCACAAAAUGAGUGGUAUUCCUUCCUUUUCUUUUUUUUGGGAAGAGAUUGUGUGGAAUUGGCAUUAUUAUUAUUUUCUUCCCUGAUGGGUACAUUUCAACAGUGAGACCAUCUGGGCCUGGGGUUUUCUUUGCUAGAAGUGUCAAAUUAUGAAUUAAAGUUUUUAAAUAGGUUUAGAACUAUUCACACUAUCCUUCUUUUCUAGUGAGUUUGGUAAUAUGCCUUUAAGUUGGUCGACAUCAUCUAAGGUGUUGAAUUUAUGGCCAUAAAGUCAUUCUUAGCAUCCCCCUAUAAUUACUGUAAUAUUUGUAGAGUCUGUAGUGAUAUUUUCAGAUAUUGAUAUGGACUAAAAUCUAGCAGUUUUACUGAUAUUGUCAAAAAAGCCACUUUAGUUUCUUUUUUUAAUGUUUUCUAGUUUUACUUUUCUUUUUCUGUUUAUUUUUUUAUUAUUUGCUUCCUUCUACUUGCUUAAUCUCCACAUAUUCUUCUUUUUCUAGUGUCUUAGGCCAGAAACUUGGAUUAUCCAUCUGGAAGCGUUGUUCUUUUCUAACAGAAGGAUUAAAUGCUGUGAAUUUUCUUCUAGCAUCCUUUUAGAUGCAUCCUAUAAUUUUUUAAUGUCAUGUAGGUGUAUUUUUGUUCAAUUCAGAGUAUUUUCUAGAGGGUCCCAGUCUUUUUCAUCGAUGGUUGUUCUUAAGACACUUGUGAUUUUAGUGUGCUCCUGAGAUGACGGGAACUCAAGGUGUCUCUAUUCCACCGUCUUUGCCUCCCAUAAAAGGAAUCCAAUUCCGAAUAUUUUCUGUUUUCCUUGAGGCUUACUCUUUGACUCAUUGAUUAUUUGGAAGUGUAUUUUUAACUUUCAAAUAGUUGGAGAUUUUUCAUACAUCUUUCUGUUACUGAUUUCUGGCUCAGUUUUGUUAGGAUCAGAGAAUAAUAUCUUGUGUUAUUUCCGUUUUUUGUUUUUAUGAACCAGCAUAUGGUCUAUCUCACUGAAUAUUCCCUGUGUACUUGAAAAGAACAUGUAUUAUGCUGUUGUUAAGGGGAGUGCUUUGUGAAUGUUAAUUAGGUCAAGUUGAUUGAUUGUGUUGUUCAGAACUUGGAUAUCCUUGUUGAUUUUCUUUCUUCUUGAUCUUUUGAUUCCCAAGAGGUAUGUGUUGAGGUCUCCAAGUAUAAUUAUGAAUUUGUCUACUUCUCCUUUUCGUUGCAUUCAUUUUUGCUUCAUGUAUUUUGAAUGUAUUAUUAGGUGUAGCUACGCUUACAAUUUUUAGAUUUUCUUGAUGGUCUGACCCUUGUUUGUCAUUUUGUAAUACCCCUCUUUACCUCCGGUGGCUUUUUCUAUUUGGAACUCUGCUUUAUCCUAUCCCUAUGUAGCCCAUCCUGUGACCAACUUGGGGACAAAGGGGAAGGGGGAAGGAAGAAGGACUCCAUUUUCCAGUUCCUCUGCUCAUCGAGGAAUACCUCCUUUCCAAUCGUCUAAAAAUCUGCACAGGAAUAUGGCCUCAUGCCUGAGGCUUGUCUGGGGCCAGCACAAGAGAAUAAAAAACAGUAAAUUAAACUGGUCCCCCCCCCCCGCCCAACCCCGAGAUCCAUCCACAGAGGACCUUUCCUGGUUUUCUGGCCAUGAAGAGAGAAGAUGAGAAUUUCUCUUGACACGUCUGCUGCACAGUCUUGGGGUACAUGCUUUUGUGGAGUGUGAGCUGGGCGGUAGGGAAAAACACAGGAAGAUCUGGAGCAUGUUGGCCACACUCCUAGUUCUAUCAUUUACUUUUAGUGUUAUCAGAUAGGGGCCUUAUGCGUGCUGCCCAGUGUUUUCAAUUGCGAUCAGAGAGAAAGCAUGGAAUGAACUUACUCCAUCACAGCUGGAACCUUCACCUCCUAAACCACAUUUUCCUCUACACCGAACAACUCGGAAGACUCCCCCUACCUUGCCUUCUCUGUCAUUCUGGUGGAAGAUACCUCCUUAACCAGUUCUAUGAUUAUACCUGGAGUUCCACAUGACAUGCUACUUUUAUUUAUUUUUAAUUUAAUUUAUUUUAUUUUUUUUAGGACUGCACCUGUGGCAUAUGGAAGUUCCUGGGCUAGGUCUCACAUUGGAGGUGAACUGCCAGCCUAUGCCGCAUCCACAGUGUCGUGGGACACGAGCCACAUCUGUGACCUAUAUACACCACAGGUCAUGGCAGUGCUGGGUCUUUAACUCACUGAGCAAGGCCAGGGAUCAAACCUGCAUCCUCAUGGAUACUAUUUAGGUUUGUUUCCUUUGAACUCCUUUGAGCCACAAUGGAAAUUCCAGCCACAACAGGAACUCCUCAUGCUCCUUUUAACACAUGUAACUGAGGCAAGUGUAAACAGCCAACUAUUUUCAUACAAUUAUGCCUUUAUUCUAAUCAGUUUAAUAGGUAAUCACUGGAAUAGAUCAUAACUAAGAGAUAACAGGGACAAAAAUGGAUAAAUGUAUUUCCUUGAUGGAAACAGAAAAGAGACUGGUUUUACAAUCACCGUGUCUUUGUAGAGCGUGAAAAUAUAUGUCCCUCAACAAGUGAAGGGUGAAUAAGAGCUCUGGUUACCUGGGGCAUCUAAAUUAGCAAGUAUUAGAUUUUAUUGGUAAGUACUGUUUUGGUUGUGAUCACAGAAAUCCAAAUGUAUUUGACUAAAAUUAAGAAAUAAAUGUUUUUUAAAAAUCCAAGAGCAAUAUGGCUUCAUAAAUGACUGCAUUCAUUUACUCAAAUUAUGUAACCAAGAACCUGUCUUCCUCCUUUGCACGACUUGUAUAGAUUUUUGUUGGUUUCAUUCUUGGUUGGAUUCUUCCGUGAUGUGGCUAGGAACUAGUAACCAGGUCACCAGUAACUUCAGACUUAUAAUUUUUUUUUUUUUUUUGUCUUUUUGCCAUUUCUAGGGCCACUCCUACAGCACAUGGAGGUUCCCAGGCUAGGGGUCUAAUCAGAGCUGUAGCCACCGGCCUACACCAGGGCCACAGCAAUGCGGGAUCCGAGCUGCAUCUGCAACCCACACCACAGCUCAUGGCAAUGCCGGCUCCCCAACCCACUGAGCAAGGCCAGGGAUCAAACCCGCAACCCCAUGGUCCCUAGUCGGAUUUGUUAACCGCUGAGCCACGAUGGGAACUCCCAGACUUAUAAUUUUUCCUCAAAGUAACUCUAUCAAAUAGACCAUCUUUUUCAAAAUUGUAAUUGGAAGUUGGAGGUUCUCACUGAACUGGCCUGGAAUGGGCUUUAUUCCUGUCUCUGAAGCAGUGACUAUUAUACUGAUUGUCCAGGACUAGAAAGUAGGCUUGAUCCUUGAUAGAAUGUGGACUACAGGUAAGGAAAGAGCAAAUACCCCAGGAAUUUUGAGGUCCUGUGAACAUAAGAAGAAGGCAUUGAUUCUGAAGAGGCAGAACAAGAGCGAUCUACUCUGUAGGCAAUGUUGACAGAAGGAUGGAGAGCUAUGAAAAGAAACCUUUCCUACCUCCCAGUGUGGCAUAGAAGCCUGUUUUGUGUGAGCAGGAAAGCUCAAAGCCCGGUUUUCUAAAACUCUAACAUUAACAAUUCUCUUGAAUUGAGGGGAGUAAGUGAAUUAUGCUGAGUUUUUGUAGUCAUCGAUUUUAGCAAAGACAUGUAUAGUAUAUGCCGUUCUCCGGUAACGUUGAAAGGCAUAUACAAAAGACAGACUGUGCUUCUCUCUCUCUUUUUUUUAACUAAUAGCUACCUGCUAUAUUUUGUUCCCUAUAAAAAAUAAGAAACAGAUUUCAAAUUAAAAAAGAUUUCAAGUUAGAAAAAUAUAAUAGAUAUACUUUUUAGUGUCAACAUCUUUACAGCUAAUGGAAAAAAUCGCUAAAAAUUAAAAGCUGAACACUGGUUGAAGACUUUGGAGAAGGAAGACUGUAGGCACUUCUGAAGUUAUGAAUGUACCUCUCUCCUCUUCCACAGCUCUCACUAUAAACUGGUGUGCUCAGGAUUCAGGGCUGAGUGUCACUCAUGGCCAGAAUUCCUGAGGAAUCAUCUGAAAUACAUCAUCAUAGAAGCACCUGACAUAAACCACCACUGUUCAGUGGCCAGUGGAGGCAUGGAGCUGAGGGGCUUGUGGACAGAAUUGCUUCAUAAAAGAUCAUCUCUAACCAGCAGAGGGAAAUUUGAUUGUAGGAUUGUGUGAAGAAUGUUUCCAUGCGCAGUUCAUGUGUGAUGGUGGCUGCAGCUAUAUCACAAAAGAAGAGUUUCCUGAAAAGCUAGAAAGAGAUCAGAGAUGUAGACAAGCCUUUAGGCUAUUGCAAAUGCCCUUGAGAAAAUCUGAGCGCCUAAAAUUAGUCUUUGGCAUCUUUGGGAUAAGAAGAAAAAGAAAGGAAACAAAUGCUUUAACAUUUUAUUCAAGGUCUGACAGGUAGAGUAGUUGUCGUAGCCUUCUUUACCUGAAUGCAUUUCAGAGUGGAACUUUUGCUCAGAACUUUCUUAGUGUUCUCUCCUUCCCCUCUUGUCUCCUGUCUUUCCCCCAUCUCUGGCUUCUGUAGAAUCAAGGGGGCUGAAUAUACUUUGCACCCUCCAAAUACAUACUUUGAAACUCAGCAAUGUUUUGUUUUUCUUGGCAUAGCACAAGGAAACCAUGAACUUUUCACUGGGGUUUAACUCAAAACACUUGCAUGAUGUAUAUGUUCUCAUGUGCUACCAGGAGGCCCACAAACAUGACACUAUGGAGUAUGAAAGAAGCAUUUAUGUAGUUCCUGUCAUGGCACAGCAGAAACGAAUCCGACUAGGAACCAUGAAGUUGUAGGUUCGAUCCCUUGCCUCGCUCAGUGGGUGAAGGGUCUGGGGUUGUGUGAGCUGCGGUGUAGGUUGCAGACACAGCUUGGAUCCUGCGUUGCUGCGGCUGUGGUAUAGGCCAGAAGCUCUGAUUUGACCCCUAGCUGGGGAAUAUCCAUAUGCCACAAGUGCAGCCUUACAAAGCAAAAAAAAAAAAAAAAAAAAAAAAAAA